GGAAGUAUGUCUCAGUGGGAGAGGGCCUGCCUGGCAAGUGAGAGGCCCUGAGUUCAAAUCCUAGUACUACCA
This 72-nucleotide transfer RNA is filed under the name Dipodomys ordii (Ord's kangaroo rat). It matches the Rfam family "tRNA". From Rfam's summary of the family: Transfer RNA (tRNA) molecules are approximately 80 nucleotides in length. Their secondary structure includes four short double-helical elements and three loops (D, anti-codon, and T loops). Further hydrogen bonds mediate the characteristic L-shaped molecular structure. tRNAs have two regions of fundamental functional importance: the anti-codon, which is responsible for specific mRNA codon recognition, and the 3' end, to which the tRNAs corresponding amino acid is attached (by aminoacyl-tRNA synthetases). tRNAs cope with the degeneracy of the genetic code in two manners: having more than one tRNA (with a specific anti-codon) for a particular amino acid; and 'wobble' base-pairing, i.e. permitting non-standard base-pairing at the 3rd anti-codon position. Lineage: Eukaryota; Metazoa; Chordata; Mammalia; Rodentia; Heteromyidae. The record is from Rfam by way of RNAcentral.